AGAUGUCCAGAUGAGGCCUGAUGUCACAAAGUUAAUGAAUGUGAUCAACAAAUCCCCAUUCUUAAAGACACAUGAUAGAAUACUUUUGGACUGGGUUUUUCCUCGUCAUCCCUCUUCAGAGAAACAAUUGAACACCACAUAAUUGUGCAAGAGGGCGAACCGUCUACACUCUAUCCAACCCUACAGCUGAUGGACAUGAGGAACAACAAGAGGGUUCCGUGUGGUCAAAAAAGACGGAGUAGGCAUGUGUUGGUACACACUUCUUGAUGAGGCCUUCAUGACAGCCUUCAGUAUGUUUUAACAUUAGGUUUGGUGUUUAAGUUCUAAAGGAAUUCCAAAUGCAUUCCACCUGUUAAUAUAUUAUUUAAAUAUCUAUACAGGAUUCAUAUCUGAUAUAUAGGUUAUGAAGUUGCAUUUUUUCAAUGUUUUUUACUGUAUACCUAAAAUUUGUCAUGCUUAUUGUUUAAAUGUACGAAGUAUACACUGGUCGCGUAUUUAGCAUUUAAAACAGUUUAAUGAACGGCUCAAUAACUGAGAGAAUUGUAUCUUACCUUGGAUUUGAGUUGUACAUUUGUAUUUUUUUAGGUAAGGUUUUACUCAGAAAGUUAUGGUGUGUUUGUUGGAUUAGUGAAUGGCUACUUAGACUGCUUUUUGUCGUGUGCUGGAACUUUAUAUAAUUUCUAUCAGAACAACACAUGAAUUAAAAUGCACUGUAAAGGGGUUGGUUAACAUGUAAAAGAUGGAUUUUUCCAAGAUGUUAACUAAUUAUUUCAAUAAAUGUUGCUGAAUAACUGUAAA
Long non-coding RNA from Labrus bergylta (ballan wrasse), 798 nucleotides. RefSeq lists it as uncharacterized. The record is from RefSeq and is a predicted model, not a curated record. Lineage: Eukaryota; Metazoa; Chordata; Actinopteri; Labriformes; Labridae.